UACGGAGGGAGCUAGCGUUGUUCGGAAUUACUGGGCGUAAAGCGCGCGUAGGCGGCUUUGUAAGUUAGAGGUGAAAGCCCGGGGCUCAACCCCGGAACUGCCUUUAAGACUGCAUCGCUUGAAUCCGGGAGAGGUGAGUGGAAUUCCGAGUGUAGAGGUGAAAUUCGUAGAUAUCGGGAGGAACACCAGUAGCGAAGGCGACACUCUGGGCCGAUACUGACGCUGAGGAGCGAAAGCGUGGGGAGCGAACAGG
RNAcentral lists this ribosomal RNA (253 nucleotides) under uncultured bacterium. RNAcentral describes it as "partial 16S ribosomal RNA". It matches the Rfam family "Bacterial small subunit ribosomal RNA", at positions 524 to 776 of the family's 1533-position model. The record is from RNAcentral.